GCGAGAAACCUUUGCAAUGUGCGCAAGCACGACAAGGUUAAUCCGAGUGUUUCCUGCUAAAGGAACCUUUUGUUAGUUCUAAAACCACUGAUGAAUAAGAGGUGGGCAAGUUCUGGUGUCAGCCGCCGCGGUAAAACCAGCACCUCAAGUGGUCAGGAGGAUUAUUGGGCCUAAAGCAUCCGUAGCCGGUUCUGUAAGUUUUCGGUUAAAUCCACUAGCUUAACUAAUGGGCUGCCGAAAAUACUGCAGAACUAGGGAGUGGGAGAGGUAGACGGUACUCGGUAGGAAGGGGUAAAAUCCUUUGAUCUAUUGAUGACCACCUGUGGCGAAGGCGGUCUACCAGAACACGUUCGACGGUGAGGGAUGAAAGCUGGGGGAGCAAACCGGAUUAGAUACCCAUGUAGUCCCUGAGCGGGCUGGCAAGGCGCAU
Molecule: ribosomal RNA, 430 nt
Filed under: uncultured bacterium
Lineage: Bacteria
Description: bacterial SSU rRNA
Rfam family: Archaeal small subunit ribosomal RNA
Source: RNAcentral